CACUCCUGCGGGAGGCAGCAGUGGGGAAUUUUGGACAAUGGGCGAAAGCCUGAUCCAGCAAUGCCGCGUGAGUGAAGAAGGCCUUCGGGUUGUAAAGCUCUUUUGUCAGGGAAGAAACGGUGAGAGCUAAUAUCUUUUGCUAAUGACGGUACCUGAAGAAUAAGCACCGGCUAACUACGUGCCAGCAGCCGCGGUAAUACGUAGGGUGCAAGCGUUAAUCGGAAUUACUGGGCGUAAAGCGUGCGCAGGCGGUUUUGUAAGUCUGAUGUGAAAUCCCCGGGCUCAACCUGGGAAUUGCAUUGGAGACUGCAAGGCUAGAAUCUGGCAGAGGGGGGUAGAAUUCCACGUGUAGCAGUGAAAUGCGUAGAUAUGUGGAGGAACACCGAUGGCGAAGGCAGCCCCCUGGGUCAAGAUUGACGCUCAUGCACGAAAGCGUGGGGAGCAAACAGGAUUAGAAACCCUGGUAGUCCCAUGAU
This 476-nucleotide ribosomal RNA is filed under the name uncultured organism. RNAcentral describes it as "partial 16S ribosomal RNA". It matches the Rfam family "Bacterial small subunit ribosomal RNA", at positions 334 to 801 of the family's 1533-position model. The record is from RNAcentral.